CCGCGGUAAUACGUAGGCAGCGAGCGUUGUUCGGAGUUACUGGGCGUAAAGGGUGUGUAGGCGGUUCUUUAAGUUUGGUGUGAAAUCUCCCGGCUCAACUGGGAGGGUGCGCCGAAUACUGAGGGACUCGAGUGCGGGAGAGGAGAGUGGAAUUCCUGGUGUAGCGGUGAAAUGCGUAGAUAUCAAGAGGAACACCGGCGGUGUAGACGGCUCUCUGGACCGUAACUGACGCUGAGACACGAAAGCGUGGGUAGCAAACAGGAUUAGAUACCCUGGUAGUCCACGCCCUAAACGAUGCAUAUUUGGUGUGGGUCAUUCAGUUGAUCCGUGCCGGAGCUAACGCGUUAAAUAUGCCGCCUGGGGAGUACAGUCGCAAGGCUGAAACUCAAAGGAAUUGACGGGGGCCCGCACAAGCGGUGGAGCAUGUGGUUCAAUUCGACGCAGCGCGAAGAACCUUACCUGGGCUCGAACGGCUGGUUACCGGCGGUGGAAACAUCGCUACCCCGCAAGGGGGUCCAGUCGAGGUGCUGCAUGGCUGUCGUCAGCUCGUGUCGUGAGAUGUUGGGUUAAGUCCCGCAACGAGCGCAACCCUUGUCCUGUGUUGCCAUGCCGAAAGGCGGAACUCGCA
This 628-nucleotide ribosomal RNA is filed under the name uncultured bacterium. RNAcentral describes it as "bacterial SSU rRNA". It matches the Rfam family "Bacterial small subunit ribosomal RNA", at positions 515 to 1143 of the family's 1533-position model. The record is from RNAcentral.